GGGACGCGCACGCAGGGCGGCGUGUUGCGUGAACGCGCGCGACUCCUCUUCCUCCGGCCCGUCACCCCGCCCCCUUCACCCCUACCUCUACCGCCGCUGCCGCUCCCGCGCCCUCUGCCGCCGCCCAGGUCUCACGGAGGAGCGGUCACCGACUGUGGAGACGGUGCGGUCCAGGCCCAGCACCGGGUGCGGAGCCGGAGGCACACACGGACUAGCCGAGCCGAGCCGGCCGGCCAGCUGUAGCCGGGGCAGAUUAGCAUAAAAUGGCAGACCAGAGACAGCGUUCACUUUCUACCUCUGGAGAAUCAUUGUACCAUGUUCUUGGGUUGGACAAGAAUGCAACCUCAGAUGAUAUAAAAAAAUCAUAUAGGAAGCUUGCAUUGAAAUAUCAUCCUGACAAAAAUCCAGAUAACCCAGAAGCUGCAGACAAAUUUAAAGAGAUCAACAACGCACAUGCAAUAUUGACUGAUGCCACAAAACGAAACAUAUAUGACAAGUAUGGUUCUUUGGGCCUUUAUGUAGCUGAGCAGUUUGGGGAAGAGAACGUGAAUACCUAUUUUGUGCUAUCCAGCUGGUGGGCAAAGGCCCUGUUUUUAUUUUGUGGGAUCAUUACUGGCUGCUACUGUUGCUGCUGUCUGUGCUGCUGCUUUAACUGCUGCUGUGGAAAGUGUAAACCUAAACCUCCUGAAGGUGAUGACCAAGAAUACUAUGUCUCCCCAGAGGACUUGGAGGCACAGUUACAGUCUGAUGAGAGGGGAGGGCAUUGAUACUGUGCUUGGAGUGUUUUUGGUGGAAGCUGGGACGUUUGAGGUGUGAACAUGGAAAUUUGAGAGGCUACAGACACACCUAUUGUGAUACAACCAGCAUCAGCCACAGAGACCACCCAGCUCACAACUGACUCCCACCCCAGCUACCAUACUGAUGGAUUUAACUAAGUUAAGAAAACACUGUAAUUAGAAUGGAUAAAUCAGUACCUGGCCAAUCAACAUUAGAAUCAUGAACAGUAGAAAUAGAGAUCGGGGAGGGAACAGCUCCUGCCACAGGGAAAGGGCAGACACUGACCUGCCAAGAAUAUUUUGUAAUCCCUUCCGCCUUUUCUGUCACCUUCAGUGUCGUAUCUUGAUGAUACAUGAAGUGCUGUAGCAUGCAGUAUUUAAAGCAGUUUAGCUACGGUCUUCCUUUAUCCUUUUUUUUUUUUUAAUCGCAUGUAUGGGGUUAUGUUUUAUGUAUGUCUGUGUUGUAAAUGUAUCGAGGAGUUACUGAAUUAAGUGAAUAAUGGAAGCAAUCUGCAUUUUAAGCAGUGGUACCAGCCUAAAUAUAUUUUUCAACCUACGAGUUUAAGUGAGAAUUGCUCUGAAGCCACUUUUGCUUCCAUACAAUUUAGUUGUGAGGACCUUUAAAAAAUAGGAAGGGGAAUUCAUCGUUCUCAACCAAGAGUACUUGUUCACAUUCCCUGUGCCCAUGUUAAAGCCAAUGUAUGACUUAGCUCAAAAUGGAGGAUGUUUCCAGAUAGGAAUUUUAUCCUUCCUUAUCAGUUUUUGACCUUUGUAUACUGGCCUACUCUUUGACACUUCCUUUUGUUCAUGAGCUCCAGAAAUGAUGAAUAGCUCCUUGCCCGGAGUCAGAAUACCUGUGUUUUGGUCCCAACUCCUCUAAUCUUAUAAAUGACCUUGGGCAAGUCACUAAACUUCUCUGAGCCCUGGUUUGCUUAUCAGUCAAACAAGGGGGUUAGAUUACAUGACCUUUGGGGUCCCUUCCAGGUUCUGUAAUUAUGAAAGAAUUUGGAAAUAUGAAAAUGACUCUUCAGAA
This is an RNA transcript of Dromiciops gliroides (monito del monte), 1809 nucleotides long. It is a transcript of the gene named DnaJ heat shock protein family (Hsp40) member C5, with no coding region annotated. The record is from RefSeq and is a predicted model, not a curated record. NCBI's taxonomy places the organism in Eukaryota, Metazoa, Chordata, Mammalia, Microbiotheria, Microbiotheriidae. The transcript is spliced from 6 exons.